UACGAAGGGGGCUAGCGUUGUUCGGAAUCACUGGGCGUAAAGGGCGCGUAGGCGGCUUUAUAAGUCGGGGGUGAAAGCCUGUGGCUCAACCACAGAAUUGCCUUCGAUACUGUAGAGCUUGAGACCGGAAGAGGUUAGUGGAACUGCGAGUGUAGAGGUGAAAUUCGUAGAUAUUCGCAAGAACACCAGUGGCGAAGGCGGCUGACUGGUCCGGUUCUGACGCUGAGGCGCGAAAGCGUGGGUAGCAAACAGG
RNAcentral lists this ribosomal RNA (253 nucleotides) under uncultured bacterium. RNAcentral describes it as "partial 16S ribosomal RNA". It matches the Rfam family "Bacterial small subunit ribosomal RNA", at positions 524 to 776 of the family's 1533-position model. The record is from RNAcentral.